Molecule: long non-coding RNA, 838 nt
Organism: Schistocerca americana (American grasshopper)
Lineage: Eukaryota; Metazoa; Arthropoda; Insecta; Orthoptera; Acrididae
Exons: 3
Source: RefSeq, a predicted model, not a curated record
GGGAAGCUAACAGACCAUGGAGGUAGAAUUACCUCCAUGUAACAGACACAUCAUUGUGGUCCAAAACCACUCGGAAGUGACGUCAAAACGACGUAUAAGCAAACGCGCUGCACACUUGUCGAGUAUCGAGAUCCGUGGUCGAGUCGAGUUACGUGAAAGUUUUCGGACCAGUGACCACUGACCACACAGGAGUGUAUGUUAUGUUAACUUAAAACGUCGGUGCGUGUAUGCUGAGUCGUCCUGAACGAGUGUGAUCCGCUGAUAUGUGACCGUAAUGUGAAAGAAAUGUGGCUGUUAUCGCACGUACACUGUAGCGGAGAAAUGGAAAUGUAUUUAUAAAUUACGUAGAAGUAAAUAAAUCGUACGGAUUCUCAGCUUAUCGGAUUUUACCUGUUUCUUGACCAUGCUGUGAUUGAUCUGCUUAUUCUGUCGAGGACCAAAUAGAACCCAAACUGGAUACUUACUUUUGCCUUGGUAUCCCUGUAUCCAGUUGCUGAGUGCAUACUGUAAUCAGGAUACACCCUUAUACACUUCAUAUUUAAAGUUGCUGGGCAGUUGGAUUUUCUAGUAUCCAUGAUUCUCAAUCUCUUACGAGGAGUCACAUGGUCUUCCUAAAGCGGGUAUUGUCAAAGUUCUGAACUGAUGGAAGCAGAUUGUCUAUCUACUUUACAUAGUACUGGAGCAAAAUUUCACAGGAUGUCACACCUAUUGUAUCUAGCAAAGAAAUGGAACUGUCUGCCAUGUGCAAUGAGGAUACCAUACUGAUUUCGGGCAACUGAAGUGCUUUAUUGUGGUUCCAAUAAAUGUGGAAUUAAUAUUCUUUGUAAACAAAGGAGAU